RNAcentral lists this ribosomal RNA (407 nucleotides) under uncultured bacterium. Its description in RNAcentral is "partial 16S ribosomal RNA". It matches the Rfam family "Bacterial small subunit ribosomal RNA", at positions 30 to 526 of the family's 1533-position model. The record is from RNAcentral.
AUUGAACGCUGGCGGCAGGCCUAACACAUGCAAGUCGAGCGGAGCGGCGGCCGGGUGCGGGUGACUUAGGUAUGUGCCUGGUAGUGGGGGAUAACGUUAGGUAACGGGAGCUAAUACUGCAUACUAUCAGCAGCGCCUAGGUCGGAUUAGCAAGUGGGUGGGGUAAAGGUCUACCAAGGCGACGAUCCCUAACUGGUCUGAGAGGAUGAUCAGUCACACUGGAACUGAGACACGGUCCAGACUCCUACGGUAGGCAGCAGUGGGGAAUAUUGGACAAUGGGCGAAAGCCUGAUCCAGCCAUGCCGCGUGUAUGAAGAAGGCCUUCGGAUUGUAAAGCACUUUAAGUUGGGAGGCGUUACCAACAGAAUAAGCACCGGCUAACUCCGUGCCAGCAGCCGCGGUAAUUC